UUUUAUAGAGAAUACUAAGCCAGGGCAGGAUUGUCAGUAACAGAAAAUGACUUGUAGGUGUCUCUUUCAUGCUGCAUGUUAUAGGUUUAGGGAUAUGAGAGAGUUGCGUUUCAGAUCCACUCUCUUCAAUUUCAUUAUGCAAAGUGUGACUGCAGCAAGCCUUUACAAAGAACGGACAAAACAAGGCCAUGGUAAAUAUCUAAGUGCAUAGUGUUAAAAAUGACUGGGAAAUAGUACCUUUUAUGGCCACGUUCAAAAUUAUGGCCAGCUAUCUCCAUGGGUAAGAGAUGUAGCAGAACUGAAUAUGGCAUUGGGCAGAACCCAUCAUGAUAGUGUUAUCUGUGGUUUUCCAUAUGAAAAAGUAAGCCCGAGAUACUGGGGCAGAUUUGCUAAUAAUGUUGUGCUUUGCACAGUUUAAAUAGGAUAUCCUGGAAAAGAUCAUGAUGACUUAUCCUCGAGAUAGGACAUCAUUAUCACAUCAGCGGGGGUCCAAGUCCCAGCAUCCCCGCCGAUCAGCUGUUUCAGGGAACCGAUGCACUCGCUGAAGCUAUGGUGAGCGAUGCAAGGCUCCUGUCAGCUUUCCAAGGACAGCGCCGUUCAUUGUAUAGUGGUUGUGCUUGGUAUUGCAUCUCGGCCCCAUUCACUUCAAUGGGGACUGAGCUGCAACUAGGCCAUGUGACCGAUGUACAGUGCUAGGAAGAGUCUGCGUCGCUCAAGGCCUCUUCGAACAACUGACUGGUGGGGGUCCCGAGUGUUUUACCCCCGCAGAUCUGAUACUGACGAUUUAUGCCUCAUUCACACGUCAGUGAUUGUGAGCCAAAAGCAUCAUCUUGGGUUCUGUGCAUGAGCUAUAUACUGUAUUUAGUACCAUGGAUGGUCUGAUCCUCUCCUGUGAGAUCAGGAAAGCCUUUUGGGAAUACUUUCCCGAGUUUGCAAGAUUUAAGGUUCAUAUGUAGAAGUGUAUUACAGCCUUAGAGUGGAUUCACACGUGGUGUAAUUUUACACUAUAGAAACAUUUGGCGCGCACACAAUGUUAUCUCCAUAUGGGCUGUUCUAAAUAUGGAACAGAUACUCCCUCCUAUUGCUUUGUGGU
Long non-coding RNA from Bufo bufo (common toad), 1093 nucleotides. RefSeq lists it as uncharacterized. The transcript has 3 exons. The record is from RefSeq and is a predicted model, not a curated record. NCBI's taxonomy places the organism in Eukaryota, Metazoa, Chordata, Amphibia, Anura, Bufonidae.